CCUACGGGUGGCAGCAGUGAGGAAUAUUGGUCAUUGGCCGAGAGGCUGAACCAGCCAAGUCGCGUGAGGGAAGACGGCCCUACGGGUUGUAAACCUCUUUUGUCGGGGAGCAAAGCGAGUCACGUGUGACUCAUUGAGAGUACCCGAAGAAAAAGCAUCGGCUAACUCCGUGCCAGCAGCCGCGGUAAUCCGGAGGAUGCGAGCGUUAUCCGGAUUUAUUGGGUUGAAAGGGUGCGCAGGCGAGGGUGCAAGUCAGCGGUAAAAUUGCGGGGCUCAACCCCGUACUGCCGUUGAAACGGAAUCCCUUGAGUGCGCGAGAAGUAUGCGGAAUGCGUGGUGUAGCGGUGAAAUGCAUAGAUAUCACGCAGAACUCCGAUUGCGAAGGCAGCAUACCGGCGCGCAACUGACGCUCAUGCACGAAAGCGUGGGUAUCGAACAGGAUUAGAUACCCUUGUAGUC
This 459-nucleotide ribosomal RNA is filed under the name uncultured bacterium. Its description in RNAcentral is "partial 16S ribosomal RNA". It matches the Rfam family "Bacterial small subunit ribosomal RNA", at positions 338 to 795 of the family's 1533-position model. The record is from RNAcentral.